Molecule: ribosomal RNA, 253 nt
Filed under: uncultured bacterium
Lineage: Bacteria
Description: partial 16S ribosomal RNA
Rfam family: Bacterial small subunit ribosomal RNA
Source: RNAcentral
UACGGGGGAGCAAGCGUUGUUCGGAUUUACUGGGCGUAAAGGGCGCGUAGGCGGCCACCGCAAGUCGACUGUGAAAUCUCCGGGCUUAACCCGGAAAGGUCAGCCGAUACUGCGGGGCUAGAGUGCAGAAGGGGCAACUGGAAUUCUCGGUGUAGCGGUGAAAUGCGUAGAUAUCAGGAGGAACACCAAUAGCGAAGGCAGCUCGCUGGGACGUUACUGACACUGAGGCGCGAAAGCGUGGGGAGCAAACGGG